CACCCCAUCGUCUAGUCAGGCCUAGGACACCGGGUUUUCAUCCCGGCAACACGGGUUCGAAUCCCGUUGGGGUGGCCA
Molecule: transfer RNA, 78 nt
Filed under: Lentisphaeria bacterium
Lineage: Bacteria; Pseudomonadati; Lentisphaerota; Lentisphaeria
Description: tRNA-Glu
Rfam family: tRNA
About the family: Transfer RNA (tRNA) molecules are approximately 80 nucleotides in length.
Source: RNAcentral